ACAAAGCAACAACAAAAAGAGUCAAAGUCAAAGCCAAGCCCGGCACAACAUGACGCAGCAGUCGGAAUCGCAGCUCAGAUAAGAAAAUUUCUGCAUCUGGAACACCCACACUAGCACACCAACACACACACACACACACAGACACACACACACACACACACACACACACAU
Molecule: long non-coding RNA, 171 nt
Organism: Drosophila navojoa
Lineage: Eukaryota; Metazoa; Arthropoda; Insecta; Diptera; Drosophilidae
Gene: Mct1
Source: RefSeq, a predicted model, not a curated record